CACACCCGUUCCCAUGCCGAACACGGAAGUUAAGCUCUUCAGCGCCGAUGGUAGUUGGGGGAUCUCCCCCUGUGAGAGUAGGACGUCGCCAGGC
This 94-nucleotide ribosomal RNA is filed under the name Rossellomorea aquimaris. The record is from RNAcentral. RNAcentral also lists the same sequence under 6 other names. Lineage: Bacteria; Bacillati; Bacillota; Bacilli; Caryophanales; Bacillaceae.